AACAAAUUGGGGGGGAUGAAAACGGCAAAUUCUUGAAAGCAACAGUACGCAGGUGAAAGCCAGUCUCUCUGUAACUGACCCGGAGGACCAGUGGGAAUUCUCUGCCUGACAAAGAGAAAAAUUACAAACAUGUUCUUGCAAUCUUAUGCCAAAGAGAAGCAGAUACUCCCUGGCACAAUCAAGUCCUACCUUAAUAGCCUGAAGCAUUGGAUGUAAUUAGAGAUCCACUGGAAGCCAGACUGACACCAUGUCUAGGUGGAGCUUGACAUACUGAAAAUAAUUGUUGAAAAGAACUUUAAGCAAAAUGGACACACCUAAAACAUCUCAUCAAACUGGAGAUGACCUCAGAAUUUGUGAAGAGUGAGGUUGCCAUUGAGGCCACUAAAAGAAAUGGAUCCAACGUGAGGCCAGUCAACCAAAGAGACUUUGUCGUUGGCAGAAACUUUUUAAUGUUUCCAGCGUAUCAUGCUGAAUACCACAAAGGCUGGCAUUCUGGCCAAUGUCCAGUUAAGAGAAUUCAAGAUGUCAAGGUCCCUGGAAGGUGUAAAGAGCUUCGAAGUUAAGCAACACAAAACAGAGAGCACCCACUGUGGGGAAAUGGUUGUUGUCUCAGAGGAGUCAUACAGGUGGACUAUCUUUUAAUACAUUGAAAUCUGCCCCCAAAGAGUGAAUCCGAAGACGACCACAUUGUUUGUAACAUAGGGCAGGCAAAAAAUGGGCAGCAGCCAAAUAAGUCCAGCAAUGCAGUCCACAUAACGUAACACAAUAACAUAACAACAUACCAUAACAUUACAGAACACAACAACAUAACAUAACCUUACAUAACAUAAUGACAAGAACAGGCCAUUCAGCCCAACAAUGCUCGUCAUUUUCCUGAUGAAGUUAGUGCUCUGAUUAUCUACAGACUAGAUAGUAUCUAACAUCGUAUCAAGCCUAGUCUUGAAAAUCCCCAGAGUUUCUUCCUCUACCAUGUGAUCUGACAGGCUAUUCCACACAUUGUCUACUCUCUGUUGAAAAAAUGCAAUUUUUUUGGUAUAAGGCAAGCAUCACCUGCAGCCUCAUGAGGAAAUCAGCAGUGACUGACAGGAAGGGGCAGCUGUUCCACUUAAUGAGUCAUCACCUGGCCACUGCACAAAAGUGCUUUAUGGUAGUGGAAAAAGAGAAGAGCUCAGUUUAGCUAAUGUGUGAUGAUCGUUCAUGCGCAAAAUGGCUGCUGUGCAUCACCCAGGUGGGUGCUACGCAUUGGUGGUGGGUGAGCUGCUGCUAUGGUGCAGAACAGAAAAAAAGAGGAGAAAGAUUUAAAAAGAGGUGAAAGAGGAGGAGGGCCCUGAUUGUCCCAGCCCCAGGCAGGUGCUCAGCAGCAGGAGGGGAAGAAGGCUCCUGAAAGCAAGAUGCUUAGGAUUUUUUCCACGCUGACCUACACAACCGACUCACAGAUUCAAAGUUGAAGAAAACAUUUACAGUAAACAAAAUUAAUUCAUGGGGGAAAAAAUGGAAUGUCUUGACUGUGUAGGUAUGCCCACCCCUUGUCACAAUAAAAAAAUUUUUAUUAUCGUGAAAAACAAAAAGGCACCUAACAUGUUGUAUGUCUACAUCUGUAUCCAUUAAUACUAGUUCAAAUUAUUGAAAUACCCCUGUGAGUAGAAUCAUGCCGGUCUCUGUAUGGUCUCUAUCAGGGAGUGAAUUGUCAGUCGAAGUUAAUCAAUUAACACAAAAAAGGCAUCAGAACAACUCUUUAAAAGACACAGAGUAUGGUGAAGUGGAAGUGGAAGGUAUAGGCCAACACCCAGAUAAUGCUCAGAUCACGGCGUUCCCCCAUACUGAGUAAUUUAUCUGGGGAAGGAAUAAAAUUCUGAGGGAAAAAAUUGUGAGGCCUGUGGUGACUUUGAAGUCCAUGGCAGAGAUGAGAGAAAAAUGUGCAUGGUAGAAAAAAAUUUCACUUCCAUGUGACCGUGUGUCAAUGGAUAUUCAGUGUCUUUGAAGCAUAUUUAUUCCCCCUCGCUGCUCUGUGCCUCUGUAAUGGUCAAAAACUUUGUAGCACACAUGAUCGGUUGAAAACUUGUUAGUAUAAUCAGUCUUCUUCGGCUGGCGGCAAGAACAA
Molecule: long non-coding RNA, 2101 nt
Organism: Anguilla rostrata (American eel)
Lineage: Eukaryota; Metazoa; Chordata; Actinopteri; Anguilliformes; Anguillidae
Exons: 3
Source: RefSeq, a predicted model, not a curated record